UGAGACACGGUCCAGACUCCUACGGGAGGCAGCAGUGGGGAAUAUUGGACAAUGGGGGCAACCCUGAUCCAGCCAUGCCGCGUGUGUGAAGAAGGCCUUCGGGUUGUAAAGCACUUUUGUCCGGAAAGAAAAGCACCUAAUUAAUACCUGGGUGUCAUGACGGUACCGGAAGAAUAAGCACCGGCUAACUUCGUGCCAGCAGCCGCGGUGAUACGAAGGGUGCAAGCGUUACUCGGAAUUACUGGGCGUAAAGCGUGCGUAGGUGGUGCGUUAAGUCUGUCGUGAAAGCCCCGGGCUCAACCUGGGAAUGGCGAUGGAUACUGGCGCGCUAGAGUGCGGUAGAGGAGAGUGGAAUUCCCGGUGUAGCAGUGAAAUGCGUAGAGAUCGGGAGGAACAUCAGUUGCGAAGGCGGCUCUCUGGACCAGCACUGACACUGAGGCACGAAAGCGUGGGGAGCAAACAGGAUUAGAUACCCUGGUAGUCCACGCCCUAAACGAUGCGAACUGGACGUUGGGAGCAACUAGGCUCUCAGUGUCGAAGCUAACGCGUUAAGUUCGCCGCCUGGGGA
RNAcentral lists this ribosomal RNA (568 nucleotides) under uncultured bacterium. RNAcentral describes it as "bacterial SSU rRNA". It matches the Rfam family "Bacterial small subunit ribosomal RNA", at positions 320 to 879 of the family's 1533-position model. The record is from RNAcentral.